Molecule: long non-coding RNA, 1217 nt
Filed under: Marmota monax (woodchuck)
Lineage: Eukaryota; Metazoa; Chordata; Mammalia; Rodentia; Sciuridae
Source: RNAcentral
UAAAUAAUCUAAUAUUACAUCACAAGACCCUAGGAAAAGAAGAAUAAAUCAACUCCAAAAUCAGUAGAUGUUAGAAAAUAAUUAAGAUCAGAGCCAAAAUUAGUGAAAUUGAGAAUUAAUAAACAAGGGAUCACUGCAACAGAGUUAGUUCUUUGAAAAAUAAGCAAGAUUGAUAAACCAUUAGCCAAACUAACCAAAAGAAAGAGAAGACCCAAAUCAACAAAAUUAAAGAUGAAGAAGGAGAUAUCACCACAGACAUUUCUGAAAUCCAGAAGAUCAUUAGAAACUAUUUUGAAAAUUUAUAUUCACUCCAAUAAGUCGGAAAAUGUUGAAGACAUUGACAAAUUUCUGGACACUUAUGACCUACCUCAAUUGAACCAUGAGGAUGCAGAAAUAAACAUACCAAUAUUUAGCAUUGGUCUGUUUGCUGAUUGAAGCAGCAAUUAAAAGCUUUCCAACAGAGAAAGGCCCAGGACCAGUUAUGUUCUCAGCUGAGCUCUAGAAGACCUUUAAAGAAGAAUUAACACCAAUCCUUCUCAAAUUAUUUUAUAAAAUUAAAAGGAGGGAACACUGCCAAUUCAUUCUAUGAAGCCAGUAGUAUCCUGACACCAAAAUCAGACAGAGGCACAUCAAGGAAAGGAAACUUCACAUCAAUUUCCCUGAUGAACAUAUAUGCAAAAAUCCUUAUUAAAAUGUUUGCAAAUCACCUUCAAAAACACAUUAGGAAGAUAGUGUACUACAAUCAAGUGUGUUUCAUCUCAGGGAUGCAAGAUUGGUUCAAUAUGUGCAAAUUGAUAAAUGUAAUUUACCACAUAAAUUGAAUUAAGGCCAAGAAUCCCACAAUCAUCUCGAUACAGAAAAAGAUUUUGACAAAAGCCAGCACCCAUUCAUGUUAAAAGCACUGCAGAAACUAGGAUAGAGGAAAUUUAACCUCAGCUUUGUAAAGCUAUAUUUGUUUAUAGCUAUAUGCUAUAAACCCAAGUCCAACAUCAUACUGAGUGGAAAAAAAACUGAAAGCAUUUACUUUAAAAUCAAGAAAAAAAAUAAGGAUGCCCACUCUCAACCCUCCUAUUCAACAUAGUUCUUAAAACUUUAGCCAGAGCAAUAAGGCAAGAAAAGAAAAUUAAAGGGAUACAAAGAAGAAAAGAUGAAGUCAUGAAGUCAUGAAGUCAUGAUCCCAUAUCUAGAAGGCCAUUCUCCUCGCCCAAAGCGACUCC